GGAGUUAGCCGGUGCUUCUUCUGUGAGUGAUGUCCUUCCUGCCGGCUAUUAACCCGCAGGCCUUCUUCCUCACUGAAAGUGCUUUACAACCCGAAGGCCUUCUUCACACACGCGGCAUGGCUGGAUCAGGGUUGCCCCCAUUGUCCAAUAUUCCCCACUGCUGCCUCCCGUAGGAGUCUGGGCCGUGUCUCAGUCCCAGUGUGGCUGAUCAUCCUCUCAGACCAGCUACGGAUCGUCGCCUUGGUGAGCCGUUACCUCACCAACCAGCUAAUCCGACAUAGGCUCAUCCGAUAGCGCGAGGCCCGAAGGUCCCCCGCUUUCCCCCGUAGGGCGUAUGCGGUAUUAGCCUGGGUUUCCCCAGGUUAUCCCCCACUACCGGGCAGAUUCCCUAUGCAUUACUCACCCGUCCGCCGCUCGCCACCAGGGAGCAAGCUCCCCGUGCUGCCGCUCGACUUGCAUGUGUUAGGCCUGCCGCCAGCGUUCAAUCUGAGCCAGGAUCAAACUCUGA
Molecule: ribosomal RNA, 508 nt
Filed under: uncultured bacterium
Lineage: Bacteria
Description: partial 16S ribosomal RNA
Source: RNAcentral